AGAGUUUGAUCCUGGCUCAGAAUGAACGUUGGCGGCGUGGAUUAGGCAUGCGAGUCGCGCGAGAAUCGUAGCAAUACGAGGACAGCGGCGAAAGGGAGAGGAAUAAGUAGAAAUCUACCCUCGGGACGGGGAUAGCGGCGGGAAACUGCCAGUAAUACCCGAUAACGUCCUAGGACCAAAGGUGUGAUUCCGCCUGAGGAUGAGUCUACUUCCUAUUAGCUUGUUGGCGGGGUAAUGGCCCACCAAGGCAACGAUGGGUAGCAGGUGUGAGAGCAUGACCUGCCUCAUUGGGACUGAGACACUGCCCAGACACCUACGGGUGGCUGCAGUCGAGAAUCUUCGGCAAUGGACGAAAGUCUGACCGAGCGACGCCGCGUGCGGGAUGAAGGCCUUCGGGUUGUAAACCGCUGUCGUAGGGGAACAAAUGUACGGGGGUUCUCCCCUGUAUUCGAGUGAUCCUAGGAGGAAGGAGAGGCUAAGCUCGUGCCAGCAGCCGCGGUAAGACGAGCUCUCCAAACGUUAUUCGGUAUCACUGGGCUUAAAGAGUUCGUAGGCGGUCUGGUAGGUGAGGUGUGAAAUCCCCCGGCUCAACCGGGGGACUGCGCUUCAAACCGCCGGACUUGAGGGAGACAGAGGUGGGCGGAACAGAUGGUGGAGCGGUGAAAUGCGUUGAUAUCAUCUGGAACACCGGUGGCGAAAGCGGCCCACUGGGUCUUUUCUGACGCUGAGGAACGAAA
This 737-nucleotide ribosomal RNA is filed under the name uncultured bacterium. RNAcentral's name for it is "bacterial SSU rRNA". It matches the Rfam family "Bacterial small subunit ribosomal RNA", at positions 8 to 758 of the family's 1533-position model. The record is from RNAcentral.